CCGCCACAACGGCUUCCUGACGUGGUGUGGGCUUAACCAUCGGAGCA
This 47-nucleotide non-coding RNA is filed under the name Aliiroseovarius sediminilitoris. Its description in RNAcentral is "SAM-SAH-Weickhmann-2018 RNA". It matches the Rfam family "SAM/SAH riboswitch aptamer". The record is from RNAcentral. Lineage: Bacteria; Pseudomonadati; Pseudomonadota; Alphaproteobacteria; Rhodobacterales; Paracoccaceae.